GACGAACGCUGGCGGCGUGCUUAACACAUGCAAGUCGAACGGAAAGGCCCUGCUUUUGUGGGGUGCUCGAGUGGCGAACGGGUGAGUAACACGUGAGUAACCUGCCCUUGACUUUGGGAUAACUUCAGGAAACUGGGGCUAAUACCGGAUAGGAGCUCCUGCUGCAUGGUGGGGGUUGGAAAGUUUCGGCGGUUGGGGAUGGACUCGCGGCUUAUCAGCUUGUUGGUGGGGUAGUGGCUUACCAAGGCUUUGACGGGUAGCCGGCCUGAGAGGGUGACCGGCCACCUUGGGAUUGAGGUACGGCCCAGAAUCCUACGGGAGGCAGCAGUGGGGAAUAUUGCACAAUGGGCGGAAGCCUGAUGCAGCAACGCCGCGUGCGGGAUGACGGCCUUCGGGUUGUAAACCGCUUUCGCCUGUGACGAAGCGUGAGUGACGGUAAUGGGUAAAGAAGCACCGGCUAACUACGUG
Molecule: ribosomal RNA, 468 nt
Filed under: uncultured bacterium
Lineage: Bacteria
Description: partial 16S ribosomal RNA
Rfam family: Bacterial small subunit ribosomal RNA
Source: RNAcentral